CAUUCAGGAAGCCUUGACAAGGUCCCUCACCAAAGGCUCUUAAGCAAAGUAAGCAGUCAUGGAGUAAGAUGGAAGGUCCUUUCAUGGAUCAGUAACUAGUUAAAAAACAGGAGACAAAGGGUAGGAAUAAAUGGUCAGCUUUCAUAAUGGGGAGAGGUAAAUUGCAGGGUCUCCCAAGGUUCUGUACUGGGACCUGUACUGUUGAACAUAUUUAUAAAUGAUCUGGAAAAUGGAAUAAACAGUAGGUGACAG
Long non-coding RNA from Chelonia mydas (Green sea turtle), 252 nucleotides. RefSeq lists it as uncharacterized. Lineage: Eukaryota; Metazoa; Chordata; Testudines; Cheloniidae. The transcript is spliced from 3 exons. The record is from RefSeq and is a predicted model, not a curated record.